This 245-nucleotide ribosomal RNA is filed under the name uncultured bacterium. RNAcentral's name for it is "partial 16S ribosomal RNA". It matches the Rfam family "Bacterial small subunit ribosomal RNA", at positions 524 to 768 of the family's 1533-position model. The record is from RNAcentral.
AACGUAGGAGGCGAGCGUUAUCCGGAUUUAUUGGGUGUAAAGCGCGUGCAGGCGGUGGGCUAAGUUGGGUGUGAAAGCUCCCGGCUCAAUUGGGAGAGGUCGCUCAAGACUGGCCGACUGGAGAGCAGGAUGGGAAGGUGGAAUUCCGGGUGUAGUGGUGAAAUGCGUAGAUAUCCGGGGGAACACCAGUGGCGAAAGCGGCCUUCUGGACUGCAUCUGACGCUCAGACGCGAAAGCUAGGGGAG